This is a long non-coding RNA of Cavia porcellus (domestic guinea pig), 2997 nucleotides long. RefSeq lists it as uncharacterized. NCBI's taxonomy places the organism in Eukaryota, Metazoa, Chordata, Mammalia, Rodentia, Caviidae. The record is from RefSeq and is a predicted model, not a curated record. The transcript is spliced from 2 exons.
UUAAAAAUUCACCCUAUAUUGUCAAUAUCUUUGAUUUAAAAAUCAUGUAAUUUUUAAAAAAAAAUGUAAAAGUUCAGUUGCAUUUUUUUUUUUUUUUUUGUGAUUUUAGCAAUAUGGAAGAGGAAAGUACUGAACUCUGCUUUGUGGAAUCACUUCAAAGUUAAUGAUAGUGAAAAAUUUCUCCCCUGAAGGAUAUUUGAACAACUGUAAUCUUCUAUGGUAAAACCACCAAAAAGCCAAAUAUACAGUUAUCAGUUAUAAGUAGAGGCAAAAGCAAUGGGCCAAAAUGCUGCAAGACCAAGAGCAUUUUGACUGACAUAUGCAUAGACUUUACUAUCAUUUGAUUAAGUUUCCCAGAUUCAUUGAGUAUAUCUUUCACUUGAAAGUGAUGGUUCAUUGUUUUGCAGGAAUGUAAGAGCAUACAUCAGAGAAGGCAAAUGAAAGCACAGUUCAAUUAUCUAGAUCAUUUUAUUUAUUUAAAUAAUUGUUCUAUUCUCCAGCCACCCUGAGUGAAAAUUUGAUAAAAUAAAGGUAGGGUCUUCAAAUUCUUUUACUUCUGAAUGAAAAUCUUCUAUCGGUGUUAAUUUGGUAGGUAUCUGAGGUUAAAACGGUGUUGAUUUUCUUACUUAUACAUGUUUGCAACAUAUAAUGUUUGCGUUCCUUGUGUGUAGAUUUAAUUAACAUAACUCUUAUGAAUAUGCCAGCCCUAGAGACCUGGUGUGUGUGUCACUUUUCAAGGUAGAGGUGGUAAGAAUUUGUAGAUCUAGAUUUCUCAGGGCAUGGAUCCCCUUACUUGGAUUGAUUUUUCCCUCCUAAUUAAGGCUAUCAAAUAAAAAAAAUUCUCUAUACUGUUGUACUGCUAUUAGGGAGAUUUGUUUGCACAGAGGUUUUUGUAGCAUAUUUCUGUUAACUUUAAAUUCUGUUUAAUGUUUUAAGUACUAAAUUUUACAUUUAUAGCACUUUAUACAGAAGAUAUUAGAGACUCUAAAGAGUUAGGCACAUACAUUUUAUAACUAGAGGCCUCACCAUUCACCUUGUGGAGUUAGUGAUACAGAAUAUGAAAUAAAAUGCCAUAACUAUGGAGUGGAAUAUCAAUUGCAGAUGAUGUUCUCCUCUGAAAUAUAUGGAGACAAUUAUGCUUUGGGGCUUUUGGUUCAGACUAUUCUAUGUUUAAUAAGUGAACUAGUCUGUUUUCCCCAAAUGCUUUUGGAAUUCUCUUUAAGGAAAAACAUGAAAUUAAGGUAUAAGAGGUGUAAGGACCCUGGAUGAAACCCAGAGGUCAAAUAUUUAAAACUGAAUAUUUGAUAAUUUAAAAAUAGUUCAAUAAAUUCCAUUUAUAAUGCACCCCCUGAGAUGUGGCUUAUUCCAUGUAUUUGAAUAUUUCAGAUUAUUUCCUGAGCAGGGACAUUGGCUUUCAGUUCGAAGGGUGAAUAUGCAUUUGAGUCAUGCUGUGACUUUGAAGAAUGUACCUCAUAUUUUCAGGGCUUCCUUUAUAUAUUUUUAGAACUUUAGAAAGAUGGUAAUAUGCAUAUUAUGCUGAUGACUUGAACAAUAUUCAGAACACAAAGCACAAUGUUAAAUCUUCUACCUCUGCUCUUCUCUCCUAUGUUAUUUCCUAGAGGUACCUCGCAUCUCUUUCCUGUGAACUCAUAUGCACUCCCAUGCAUGGCCCUGUGUGCAUACUUGUGUGAGACUUGAGAAGUCUCACAAUCUUCCACUGUAAGCUGCAUACCCAGGGAAGGUCCUCAACAGAUCGGAUGAUGUCAGCAACACUGAAGACAGCAAUUCUAUCUAUUCAGUCUGCAGAUUCAAAGCAAAUUUCUUCUGGAAACAUUCUCACAGAUUACCCCAAAAUAAUGGUUAUAUAGCUACCUAAGCAUUCUGUGACCCAACCAAGCUGGCAUACACAAUUGUACCUCAAAAUGGAUAUUUUAAAAAUAUUUUUUAUUUAUUAUUUUGCUCUCUAAAAAUGAUAUGCAGUAGUUUGGGCACUGAGAAUAUAUGAGGAUAUUUCUGCUUUUUGGCUUGCUUGAGGAGGCCUUUUACAUUCUAAAAGUAUAAAAGUGUCCCACUAUAUUUUCUUCUAGCACAUGCACAUACAAAUUUAGUUCUUUAAUCCAGCUGUAGUUUGUACAUGUUGUACAUGUACAAGUUGUAAUCCUACUUGAGAGAUUAGGAUCUAAAUUUAGUUUUUCCUAUUGUUGACUUUGUUCAAUUACGCUACUUAUGCCAUUUAUUGAACAAUCUAUUUCCCUUUUUAGUUUAAAAAAGCAACUUGUAUAAAUUUUAUGGUUAAAAUUUCCAAGUAUGUGUAGCAUGCUUCCGAACUGUGGUAGGCUUGGUUUUAAACUCUGGUGAUACUGAUUUGUCUUUAUUGGUACUUUAGUAUGUUUCGUCAUCUGAGAAAAUAGCAUGUAAAUGUUCAGUUAACUUAGAUUUUUUCCAAAUUUAAUUCUUACUUCAUAUCUAAAUUCUUAAAAUACUACUUUUUUCAAUAUGAUACAGUUUUCUAGCUUUCCAAACAUGAAUUUCAGCUUUAUUUAACUGUCACCAGCACUCGAAACUCUUUCAUAUUUUCCUACUUGUUAAGAUGGUAUUUCUGGGCAUAAGUUGCUUCUUUUUUUCCCUCUGGCAAACUCUUUUAUUGAUGAGGACAUUAAUUAAUUAUUGUGUAGGUGGUAAGUUACAGAAAGGAACACUUUUAAUAAAAUAGUUUCCUUAUUUUGCAUUUUUAGGCUCACUUCAUUUUUUUUUUGCCAGUCAUAUAGUGUGAUGUGGUAUUAGUGUGAAAUGUGUAUAGUGUUAUGUGAUAAUUUAUUUACCUGUUCUCUUCUUUCAUUAUUAUGAUUGUUUCUUUCUUUAUUUAAAAGAUAGUAUUGGUAUAAACAUCACUAUGCACACAUCUUUUGUGCACUUAAGAAUUUGGGAAUGAUUCCUAGGUCAAGGAAACACAUGUAUUACAUUAAGAACAACUAUUAAAUAUGAGCUGGCAAAGAU